Molecule: long non-coding RNA, 1856 nt
Organism: Danaus plexippus (monarch butterfly)
Lineage: Eukaryota; Metazoa; Arthropoda; Insecta; Lepidoptera; Nymphalidae
Exons: 3
Source: RefSeq, a predicted model, not a curated record
UGGUUGGUCAACUUUUUAAGUGCAGUUGUACUUUUUAUAAGCUAUUGUUCUGUAUUAAGUAUUCUUCUGUUGUGGAUUUACCGAAAUGUCUUUACUUUUAAUGGAGAUUGUAAUAUGUUUAAAUACUUAAAGUUUGUCAGUAAAAUGGAAUUUUGGUGUACGUAUGGUGAGCGUUUGGAAGUUUCACAUUGAUUAUAUAGAAAUAAAAGUUCGCUGGCAGCAGUACACAUUCGUCACAGGUGUCACUCUCGCGGCUUGAUUUGACGUGCGUGGUUCAACAUAUUGAAUCUCCGUUACAUUUCAUCAUCAUUACAGCCUUAGCUAUCAUAGUGGAUGAACGUCGUUCAGGUUCCGCGAUGGCUGAUGUUAAUUCUACAGAUUCCAUGUUUUGCGAUAUUUGUAGCGUAUCGUACUAUAUGUUACACAACCGUGAUCACGGGCAGACGACAUGAGAAAAUCUCAUCUCGUCAGUAGUACUUUAAGUCAUGUCUAAUCAACAAGUCAUAAAUUCUUUCUUUAAAAUUAAAUUUAACAAUAAAUAUAUCAUUAAUAUUUUAAUGUGGAUUUGUGUAAAAUGUAGUACCAAGUUCGUUUUAAUGACGGUAUAGAAGUCAUCAAUUCCAAUGUUAUCGCCUAGCGGAGGCAGUGCGUCGUAAAUCAAUCAUUCAGAAUAUCUGACAAAUGCAGAUGUCGCGCGGUUCAAGCUACACGUUCCUAUCAAAUCUCGUAGCCGUGCCUCUGAUGUUUAAGUAGGCAUCAAUUUAUAGAAAUAUUAACUGUGACCCAGACAUCGUCUGUUUAUUUUUUUCUAGACAUUGCGCUGAAAUUCACCUAAUUGAUUCAGAUAUUCGUUAAAAACUUUGUUUUUUUUUUUUAUAUUUUUUCAUAAACAAUAAGGAAACGAACAAUGAAAAAUUUUUAUUUAAAAUAUAUUUAUUUCAAAGAAAUGAUAAUUUAAAAUUAAUUAAUAGAUAUAUGUAUAAAUAAAAUUUAAACGUAUUUUCAAAUGUUAUAAACAAUAGACGUUUACUGUCAAUACACUUGAUGAGGCUGUGAAGUAAAAUUAAUUAUAAUGAAAAUAUAAACGUUAAUUUCAAAAAUCGAAUUCCGUGUUUGAAAUUAAGAAAAUUAUGUGAAGGUUGUCGAUGGCUCACAAUUUCCGACGUUCCGUUCGCUGCAAACGUGAUAUUUCCCGUAUUAAUCUACUACAACAUCCGCGAAUAAUUGGGUGAGGUUCAUCGCUGGCAAGAGUGCACUGUUAUUUGAUAUUGCAGUAUUUAUAUUUUAACAUAAUUUCUAUCUCCCUUACUCACAUAUUCUCUAACCUUCAUUAUGUUAUUUUAUUUUUAAUUACCAGUAUGAUAUCCUCAUUAAAUCAAUCCAUAAGUACAGCUUGUUGUUAUUAUUAAUUGUAUAUAAAAAAAAAAAAAAUUAUGAUAAUACAAAAUGGUGAUAAAAAAAAAUCGAUGUUUGUAAAAUGUCCGUAACAUGACUGUGGUCAUCCUAUUCAUCAGUAAAGCCAACGUAUAAAAACAGCGAACGUAAUCAACUCCGGUUUUAAUUAUCGGCAGAUUCCGUCCGUGCUUUCACGUGGCCGAAUAAAAAAAAAACACACAUGUAAAUUUCAAUUGGACGUUAUUUGGCAUUUUCAUAACGACUCAGUCUGCAUUUCCCUUGUGAUAUCGAUUUACGCUUCAAUAAUUCAGUAUCAACAUUUGCUAACAUCUAUUUUCGAUUGGAAGUACAUUUCGCGAUAGGUAUAUUUCGUAGUUUGGUUCCCGUUACCGCUAGUAAUAAAUAAUGUUAAACAUUUUUUUGAGCUUUCUUUUUUAUUCACAUAAUAAUUAAAUUUUCCA